AAUAGAUACCCAGGUAGUCCACACCGUAAACGUUGGGCGCUAGGUGUGGGGCCUAUUCCAUGGGUUCCGUGCCGCAGCUAACGCAUUAAGCGCCCCGCCUGGGGAGUACGGCCGCAAGGCUAAAACUCAAAGGAAUUGACGGGGGCCCGCACAAGCGGCGGAGCAUGCGGAUUAAUUCGAUGCAACGCGAAGAACCUUACCUGGGUUUGACAUACACCGGAAAGCGCCAGAGAUGGUGCCCCUUUUGUCGGUGUACAGGUGGUGCAUGGCUGCGUCAGCUCGUGUCGUGAGAUGUUGGGUUAAGUCCCGCAACGAGCGCAACCCUCGUCCUAUGUUGCCAGCACGUUAUGGUGGGGACUCAUAGGAGACUGCCGGGGUCAACUCGGAGGAAGGUGGGGAUGACGUCAAGUCAUCAUGCCCCUUAUGUCCAGGGCUUCACGCAUGCUACAAUGGCCGGUACAAAGGGCUGCGAUGCUGCAAGGCGGAGCGAAUCCCAAAAAGCCGGUCUCAGUUCGGAUUGGGGUCUGCAACUCCG
This 535-nucleotide ribosomal RNA is filed under the name uncultured bacterium. RNAcentral describes it as "bacterial SSU rRNA". It matches the Rfam family "Bacterial small subunit ribosomal RNA", at positions 777 to 1314 of the family's 1533-position model. The record is from RNAcentral.